AUACGGAGGGUGCAAGCGUUAAUCGGAAUUACUGGGCGUAAAAGGCGUGCAGGCGGUCCUGCAAGUCCGGCGUGAAAGACCCCGGCCCAACCGGGGGGACGCGCUGGAAACUGCGGGGCUUGAGUACAGGAGGGGAUGCCGGAAUUCCAGGUGUAGGGGUGAAAUCUGUAGAUAUCUGGAAGAACACCAAUGGCGAAGGCAGGCAUCUGGCCAUGUACUGACGCUGAGACGCGAAGGUGCGGGGAGCAAACAGGUUUAGAUACCCUGGUAGUCCGCACAGUAAACGAUGUGCACCAGGUGGCGGGGGGUCGACCCUCGGUACCGUAGCUAACGCAUUAAGUGCACCGCCUGGGGAGUAUGCUCGCAAGGGUGCAACUCAAAGGAAUUGACGGGG
This 394-nucleotide ribosomal RNA is filed under the name uncultured bacterium. RNAcentral describes it as "partial 16S ribosomal RNA". It matches the Rfam family "Bacterial small subunit ribosomal RNA", at positions 523 to 918 of the family's 1533-position model. The record is from RNAcentral.